CCAAAGUGUUAGGUUUACAGGCAUGAGCCACCGCGCCUACCCUUUAUUUCCCUCGAGUAAGUAUCUAGGGGUAAAAUUGUGACCUUGUGGUUAAGUGAACAUUUCACUCCUUAAGGAACAGCCAGUUUUCCAAAGCACUUGCACCAUCUUACAUCCCACCAGCACAGCAUGAGAGCUCUUGUUCUUCCACGUCCUCACCAGGACUUCAUAGGAACAGUUAAAACACAAAGGACUUUAUCUGAGGUAUAAGCUAGCAAAACAGCCUCCUGCAGGGAUUGCAGUGGAUGGAGGGUUUGCUGUAGCUGGAGAGCAGGCUGCAUGCUGGAAUCAGCAGGAGAGCCAUUUAAGCUUGCCCUAUCUGGGCCUCGUCCUAGAUCAAUUAAAUCCAAAAUUCUGGGGUGGUUCCCAAGCAUAAGAACUUUUCAAAGCUGCAUAGCUGAGGCUGAGGUCCACUGUUGCAGGAAAGGUAACAUCCUACAGAAAGAGCUAUUUUGCAGAGAAGGAUGGGACCUGGUGCCAGGGAAGGUGCUGCUGCCACCCAAAAGUUGAGCCUCCAUCAUCUCUCACCUGGACUGGUGCAGUCUUCUCCAAGACCCUAGGCUUCAGAAGCAGACGAGGGAACGAGCAGAAGAACAGAAGAACAGCAGAAUGGCAUGGCAGAGAGAAGAAAGGGACCAUCUGAACGCCAAGAGAAAUUCAGCUGGGGGAGGUCAGAGAGGAGAUAGACUGCAGGACAGCCAAGCUCCAGGGGAAGAUCAUCUUCCCACUCCAUCCCCUUUCCAGCUCCCCAUCCAUCCCGCUG
RNAcentral lists this long non-coding RNA (802 nucleotides) under Homo sapiens (human). RNAcentral describes it as "HSALNT0400225". The record is from RNAcentral. Lineage: Eukaryota; Metazoa; Chordata; Mammalia; Primates; Hominidae.